RNAcentral lists this ribosomal RNA (195 nucleotides) under uncultured bacterium. RNAcentral's name for it is "partial 16S ribosomal RNA". It matches the Rfam family "Bacterial small subunit ribosomal RNA", at positions 1306 to 1500 of the family's 1533-position model. The record is from RNAcentral.
UGCAACUCGACUCCGUGAAGCUGGAUUCGCUAGUAAUCGCGCAUCAGCCAUGGCGCGGUGAAUACGUUCCCGGGCCUUGUACACACCGCCCGUCACACCAUGAGAGUUGGAAAUACCCGAAGCCUGUGAGCUAACUUAAAGAGGCAGCAGUCGAAGGUAGAGCCAAUGAUUGGGGUGAAGUCGUAACAAGGUACC